AAGAUGGCGACCGGCGCACGGGUGAGUAACACGUAUCCAACCUGCCGAUAACUCCGGAAUAGUCCUUUAAAAAGAAAGAUUAAUACCGGAUAGCAUCGAAUAUCGCAUGAUAUUUUUAUUAAAGAAUUUCGGUUAUCGAUGGGGAUGCGUUCCAUUAGUUUGUUGGCGGGGUAACGGCCCACCAAGACUACGAUGGAUAGGGGUUCUGAGAGGAAGGUCCCCCACAUUGGAACUGAGACACGGUCCAA
This 248-nucleotide ribosomal RNA is filed under the name uncultured bacterium. RNAcentral describes it as "partial 16S ribosomal RNA". It matches the Rfam family "Bacterial small subunit ribosomal RNA", at positions 85 to 334 of the family's 1533-position model. The record is from RNAcentral.